CAGUUCUAUGCAAGGGAAAGCAAUCUUUCAGGUAGGUGAUCUUUCAGGCAAUCUAUGCAGGGCUCCUCCUUGGAGUCCAUUUCAGUACUGGUGCCAUAUCACCGGAUCAGUGUAGCCCAAAAUGUCAUGUUAUGUAUAUGUCUGCUUAUCCCUAGCCAGGAGGAGGAGAUCUGACUUCAGUACCAAAUCCUCUGUAUUCAUCUGUGGCAGGGUUGACUGGCAACUUCCUACGCUCCCAGAUUGAUGUGAUAUAUUCUGCUAAUGGAGUUGGCUUUUCCUGUUGCAAGCGACAAAGGCUUUUAUGCACAAUUCAUGGGGCCCUGCUGUCGAGUACGAUUUCUCCGGAGAUACCCUCCGACUUGAGUGUUUUUAAAAGCGCUGUUUCCUGUGCUGCUAGAUUGUAUCUUGCCAGCUAGCCUCCCUCAAAUGUGCCUGCCUGCUGCAGGUGAGCAGCUUCGUCGGAUGUGUUGGUGGGGGAAGUGCUUCCUCAGACAUCUCUAGCAAAUUUGGCACUGUGGUGCAGGAUUCAGUCAUAGGAACAGGACACCAAGGGGCAUGAGGCUUCUAACUGAUCAGUACAUAGGAAACUGACCUACAGCGAGUCAGAGCAUGGACCUCUCAAGCUCAGUAUUGUCUACAUCAAUGGUGGGGAUGUGGGUGGCACUGUGGUCUAAACCACUGGGCCUCGGGCUUGCCAAUCAUAAGGUCGGCUGUUCUAAUCCGUGUGAUGGGGUGAGCUCCCGUUGCUUUGUCCCAACGUCUGCCAACCUAGCAGUUCGAAAGCAUACCAGUGUGAGUAGAUAAAUAGGUACCACUGUGGUGGGAAGGUAAACGGUGUUUCUGUGUGCUAUGACCCAGAAAACUGUCUGCAGACAGGCUCCCUCGGCCUGAAAACGGAGAUGAGCACCACACCCCAUAGCUGAAUUUGAUUGGACAUAACCAUCUAGGGGUCCUUUACCUUUACCAAAAUCAGUGGUUCCCAAACCUUUAUGGGCCACCCCACCCCCCGGUUCCAUAAACCCAUCCCUAAGACCCCCUACCCGAUAUAAAGCAUUAUUCAGAAUGGUGGUUUGCAUGACCCAUAAGGAAGGGGUCAGCAAGGUUUACCUCAUCUGGGCUGGUUCACUCCCGCAGAAAUCGCUCUGUGAGCCAGAUGGCAUCCGCACAGACGUGAUUUCCAGUGUCGCAGAAGUGAGCCCCCACUCUGCGCUAGUUUAGCACAGCACAUGGGGACUCGCCGAGCAGGCAGCUUGGUUGGGGGGCAGCUCACGGGCCAUUUAAACGACCCCCAUGGGCUGCAGGUUGCUGACCCCUGCACGAAGGAAUAUAGUAACACAAUAAAAUUCAGAACAGUGACAAUUACACAUUUAUUCAAAAUCCAGUUAAAAUACACCCACCACUGAUGGUAAGACAGAAGCUUCUACAGGCUACCAUCCUACACACAGGCACACAUAUAUUUAAUGGUAUUCAUGUUACUAUACAGAAUGGAAGAGGACUGGUCCCUGCCCCAAGGAGCUUGGCAUAUAAAACUCAGCAUCGGAAAGCCACAGAGGAAGGAGAGGGAAGAGGAGCAAAAAUGAAUGGAAGGAAUAUAGUUGCUACAUGCACACAGGUUUGGGUGGAUGCUUAAGGCAUGAGAACUAAGGAGUUACAGCAAUGGCUUCAUUUGGUAAUUACCCUCUCAAAUUUAGAGCUCAGAGCUCUCAGCGAUUCAAAACUUUACAUCCAGCCACAUCCCCAUGCAGUUGACUGGGCUGUCUGGAUUUCACAUCGAGAGAUUUAUUGAUUGCUUUACUUAUUUCAAGGGCUGCUUCUUAAACUUUUCAUUCCAUUUAGUCUCUUCUUUGUCCUUAGUAAAUAUGUCUGGUGAACUUUUAUUAAAAUUAAUAAAAUAACUAAGCUGGUGCAAAGUCAGGGUGGCUGAACCCAACGAUGGAGCAAUCCCCCCCCCCCGUUUUGUUUUAAUUAUUUCUAUUUAUCCAGAUUCCUUUGCCUGGUUCUGAGGCUGGGGAGGCAAAGGGAAAUAGGGGAUUUGGAAAGAAUGAGAGCCACAAACUCCCCCUGAAAUACUUUCCAUAUCAGCCCUUCAUUCCCAUAAACUUCCCUUUGUUCUGUUUCCAAUACAGCUUUGCAAUUGGCUUGGUGCUUUCAAAAGCGAUGGUAAACCUGGUGUUAAUAGGAAAAGAAAUGUAUCCUCUGUCUGAGAUGCAAGUUGAUUUUUAUAUGGGAUGGGGAGGAUGCACUUUCUGAGUUAUUUUUACACAGGGUCACUAAGACUUCUUUUCAGGCUGGAGAAGGAUGGACUUCUGGCUCAGGUCCUGGGGAAUGCAGAUUCAUUUCCUCUCUCUGCCACAGCUUUCCCUUCUGAACCUGGGUAAGUCCAUGUGAAGGGCAAGAUGUCUGGCACGCCUGUAACUCUCAGCAUGCAAAUGCAACUCUUGGUACUUUGUGGCACUCUUUUAUUGCUUGGGAAUCAUUUAUAAAAAGCAUCAACAAUAUAACACGUGCAGCUCAACCCUGUGCAUCUUCAUUUGGAAGCAGGUCCAGCCUUAUUAGUUGAAAUAAAAGAUUGCAAACAAAACUGCCACAAUAGCCAGGUCUUGUUAUUCAUAACUAAGGGUACUUACAAAAGGGACGCAGAUGGUGCUGUGGGUUAAACCACAGAGCCUAGGACUUGCCGAUCAGGAGGUCAGCGGUUCGAAUCCCCGCGACAGGGUGAGCUCCCGUUGCUCGGUCCCUGCUCCUGCCAACCUAGCAGUUCGAAAGCACGUCAAAGUGCAAGUAGAUAAAUAGGUACCGCUCCAGCAGGAAGGUAAACAGCAUUUCUGUGCGCUGCUAUAGUUCGCCAGAAGCGGCUUAGUCAUGCUGGCCACAUGACCCAGAAGCUGUACACCGGCUCCCUCGGCCAAUAAAGCGAGAUGAGCGCCGCAACCCCACGACUGGACCUAAUGGUCAGGGGUCCAUUUACUUUUACCUUUAAGGGUACUUACAAGGGACUGCAGUAAAUCAGCAUAGCACAGGAGGAAACGAAAAGCAGCGCCCUGGUUUCUGCAGAAAAGUGAGAGACAUUGGAGGUUGAAAGGGAGUGUGGGGAAGCUUGCAAAGCUUGCUCCAUGCUGAUCCUUUCAACCUCUGACAUUAGAGGUUGUAAGUGUGAGUGCCACUCAAAUGGAAACUGCUUCCCCCUCCUACUGCCCAUCAGCUGAUGCAUGAUUGUGAACGUACCCUGUUUUCACCAAAGGAGCAAUCGGAAGCCCACCGUGAAAUGUCAGAAUCAGCUUUCUGGAAGAAUUCUUCCUGCAGUUUUGGCUUGGUGCUAAAGCAGGCAAUUCCUGCACUUCCAAUUCUUUGCACUACAAAAAAAUUACACCCAGGAGUACUCCUGGGCCAACUGCUCAAGUGACUAGGCCACUCCAAAGCUCAGCCACAAACCAAAAUUCCCUGUUGCUUCUUUCUGCUUGAAUGGCAUGAUUAUCUUCUGGAACAUUAUGGCCCAGGUGCUGCCAGGUGAAAAUCCUUUAUCACUGUUCCACUCUGGCUAUGAAUCAGACCCUUGUUCCAUUGCAAGGGAUUAUAUCUGAUGGCAUCACUUCCAUUCAGGAGCAUAGAAGGGCACAGGUCAGCGUGGGACCAUGGAAGUUCUUUAAUGUGCUAGAAGAGGUGCUUGAUGGUGCUUUUACAAAGGACUUCCCCGAGCCAACAUCAGGGAUAUUUCGACGUCCACAAACAUGUCUUGAGCAGGAACACCAAGCGUGAAUCAUCGUUACCGUUUAACUGCUGCCUCUUUUUGUCCCGGUUCCAGCUCUCGCUAGUGAUCUUCUUGUGUGAGAUUGAUUAUUUCAUUAAGAAGUGGGGGUUUUCAAGGAUGGAACAAGAGGAGCUGGCAUUGUCUGAAAGCCAAUCCACGAGGCCAUGAAGGCUAGAUUAAGCAGGAAGCAAACUAGCCUAAGGGCAAUGAAAACAUAGGGCAAUGGGCAUGUACGUCAAAGGGAAGGCGGGGAUAAUUGCAAUAGUAAGAACAAGGCACAACAGCACAGACUAACACUUAGUUUGAAACUGCCUCCCUUUACCUGGCUGUUUCUUCGGAUGGCUCAUUACAACCUUCCCCAACCUAGUGCUCUCCAGAUGCUUUGGAUUACAGGUACCACCACCCCUACCAUUUGAUUUUGCUGGCUGGAACUUAAUGGAAGUUGUAGUACGAAACAUCUGGAGGGCACCAGGCUGGGGAAGGCUGGCUUGCUAUCCCUGACCACAUUUCCUCUGCCAUUUGCUCAGUUGGGGUUCUAGCGCAUGCCUCCACAACUUGUGACCCACCAAACUAUUCACCCUGUCCCCCACCUCAAAGCCACAUAUCAUGUUCUGCCAGGCAUUUGUCAACCCCUUUUUUGGCAGUUCCUUACCACACAUUUUUUAACAGGGGCGCGGGUGGUGCUGUGGUCUAAACCACUGAGCCUAGGACUUGCCGUUCAGAAGGUCGGCGGUUCAAAUCCCCAUGAUGGGGUGAGCUCCCGUUGCUCGGUCUGUGCUCCUGCCAACCUAGCAGUUCGAAAGCACGUCAAAGUGCAAGUAGAUACAUAGGUAAGGUAAGAUACCUUCCGGCGGAAAGGUAAACAGCAUUUCUGUGCGCUGCUCUGGUUUGCCAGAAGCAGCUUAGUCAUGCUGGCCACAUGACCCGGAAGCUAUACGCCGGCUCACUCGGCCAAUAAAGCGAGAUGAGCGCCGAAACCCCAAGGUCGGUCACAACUGGACCUAAUGGUCAGGGGUCCCUUUACCUUUACCACACAUUUUAAACACCAGCGAACAUAACGUACAAAAAGACAUGAUUAUAGGGGAAAUUGUUUCGCAAUUGUGUGUAUAUUUGACCAAACCGCCUACCAAAAAUGGUAUAUUAUCAUUAAAAUACUGGUGAAUUUUCAGGAUGAUUCCCUCCCCCCAUUUAAAUAGAUAAACCACAAACUGAUGAAGAAAUGUGGAGAACUGAACAUAAGGCUAGAGAAAUUAGAGAAACUGAAAUUGACAGAUUCACCCAUGCCUUACCAGAAGCACCUGAUUUUGUUACAGCUGCCAUCCAUUUGCUAGGCAGAUGUCCAGCUAAUAGCUCUGAGUGGCUGGCUGAUGGGAGUCAAUGAUUAAGAGACAGUUGGGAAAGAGAUGCCCAUUUGAGUUUGAGGAGAGACACACACAUAUACACACAGCAUUAAGGAGAAGGGCAGAUGUGUAAUUGUGUAUGUGACAAAAAAAAACACAACAGUUUUGAAUAGGCAGAAAGGGCACUUGCAAUAUGCAAUAUGAAAUAUUCAUUG
Non-coding RNA from Podarcis lilfordi (Lilford's wall lizard), 5303 nucleotides. The record is from the annotation of a GenBank genome assembly. Lineage: Eukaryota; Metazoa; Chordata; Lepidosauria; Squamata; Lacertidae.